AUUGAACGCUGGCGGCAGGCUUAACACAUGCAAGUCGAGCGGGGUGAUGGUGCUUGCACUAUCACUUAGCGGCGGACGGGUGAGUAAUGCUUAGGAAUCUGCCUAUUAGUGGGGGACAACAUCUCGAAAGGGAUGCUAAUACCGCAUACGUCCUACGGGAGAAAGCAGGGGAUCACUUGUGACCUUGCGCUAAUAGAUGAGCCUAAGUCGGAUUAGCUAGUUGGUGGGGUAAAGGCCUACCAAGGCGACGAUCUGUAGCGGGUCUGAGAGGAUGAUCCGCCACACUGGGACUGAGACACGGCCCAGACGCCUACGGGAGGCAGCAGUGGGGAAUAUUGGACAAUGGGGGGAACCCUGAUCCAGCCAUGCCGCGUGUGUGAAGAAGGCCUUAUGGUUGUAAAGCACUUUAAGCGAGGAGGAGGCUCUCUUGGUUAAUACCCAAGAUGAGUGGACGUUACUCGCAGAAUAAGCACCGGCUAACUCUGUGCCAGCCGCCGCUGUAA
This 503-nucleotide ribosomal RNA is filed under the name uncultured bacterium. Its description in RNAcentral is "partial 16S ribosomal RNA". It matches the Rfam family "Bacterial small subunit ribosomal RNA", at positions 30 to 523 of the family's 1533-position model. The record is from RNAcentral.